Molecule: ribosomal RNA, 1017 nt
Filed under: Stagonospora poaceicola
Lineage: Eukaryota; Fungi; Ascomycota; Dothideomycetes; Pleosporales; Massarinaceae
Description: SSU rRNA
Rfam family: Eukaryotic small subunit ribosomal RNA
Source: RNAcentral
AUACCGUGAAACUGCGAAUGGCUCAUAAAUCAGUAUCGUUUAUUUGAUAGUACCUCACUACAUGGAUACCUGUGGUAAUUCUAGAGCUAAUACAUGCUAAAAACCCGACUUCGGAAGGGGUGUAUUUAUUAGAUAAAAAACCAAUGCCCUUCGGGGCUCUUUGGUGAUUCAUAAUAACUUCUCAGAUCGCAUGGCCUUGCGCCGGCGACGGGUUCAUUCAAAUUUCUGCCCUAUCAACUUUCGAUGGUAAGGUAUUGGCUUACCAUGGUGGCAACGGGUAACGGGGAAUUAGGGUUCGAUUCCGGAGAGUUAGCCUGAGAAACGGCUAACACAUCCAAGGAAGGCAGCAGGCGCGCAAAUUACCCAAUCCCGAUACGGGGAGGUAGUGACAAUAAAUACUGAUACAGGGCUCUUUUGGGUCUUGUAAUUGGAAUGAGUACAAUUUAAACCUCUUAACGAGGAACAAUUGGAGGGCAAGUCUGGUGCCAGCAGCCGCGGUAAUUCCAGCUCCAAUAGCGUAUAUUAAAGUUGUUGCAGUUAAAAAGCUCGUAGUUGAACCUUUGGCCUGGCUGGCAGGUCCGCCUCACCGCGUGCACUUGUCCGGCCGGGCCUUUUCUUCUGGAGAACCGCAUGCCCUUCACUGGGUGUGUUGGGGACCAGGACUUUUACUUUGAAAAAAUUAGAGUGUUCAAAGCAGGCCUUUGCUCGAAUAUUACAGCAUGGAAUAAUAGAAUAGGACGUGCGGUUCUAUUUUGUUGGUUUCUAGGACCGCCGUAAUGAUUAAUAGGGACAGUCGGGGGCAUCAGUAUUCAAUUGUCAGAGGUGAAAUUCUUGGAUUUAUUGAAGACUAACUACUGCGAAAGCAUUUGCCAAGGAUGUUUUCAUUAAUCAGUGAACGAAAGUUAGGGGAUCGAAGACGAUCAGAUACCGUCGUAGUCUUAACCAUAAACUAUGCCGACUAGGGAUCGGGCGGUGUUACUUUUUUGACUCGCUCGGCACCUUACGAGAAAUCAAAGU